Molecule: unclassified non-coding RNA, 473 nt
Filed under: Carex longii
Lineage: Eukaryota; Viridiplantae; Streptophyta; Magnoliopsida; Poales; Cyperaceae
Description: partial external transcribed spacer 1f
Source: RNAcentral
AUUGGUUGNCUUUGUNNUUNNNNCCUNNUNUGGGUAGGGAAGUUGUCCCUCGAUUGAUAUUUGCUUGCCUUUCNNGACAUUUUUUUGUCGUUUGGGCAGCCGAAAUGAUGGCGAAAUCCUUGUGUAGGUGCGUGGUUGAAUGGCCUUGUUGCUAUCACUUGGAUUUUUGCCGCCUCUCACGGAUGCAGUGCCUAGUGCUAGCUCUGCGUGACUUUACUCCGCAGACUUUGGGAGGUUNNUUGUACUAAUCAUUGCGAUCAGAUGCCGUUUGUCGUGUUGCUUGUUUGGCACGCAAAUCGUAUUGUUCUGCCUGGAGUCGAGAUGAUGAAAGUCAGAAUGAAGUGUCUGGGGUGNNNAUNUAUACAUGGGAAUGCCUCUUUGACCGAAAGAGCAACGAUUACCUACAAACUCAUGCAAAGGCUCGCCCGUUUGGGUUGGUGCUGGAGCUGACGCGCCGGCUCUCGUUAAGACUG